UCCUGCGUGUAUUUAGAGGCUUUCUAUUGUGAAUGCAGGAUUGAAAUUCUCACAGAUACUGGAAGUUGGCGUGAUGGUGAUUCCUAUUUCCUGUGUGUAUUUAAGGUCUAGGCUUGCCAACUUUACAGAGCGAUGCCGUACUGCGGAGAUGUGUGCAUACCAUGCAGCAGCCCAUGUGAUGUCACCUGCCCUCCUCUCUUGGCCAGAGCCUGCAAUGAGCUGUGUGUGACAUCCUGCAAUGACUCCAGAGCCAUCAUAUACCCACCACCUGUGGUCCUAACUUUCCCUGGGCCAAUUCUCUGCUCCUGCCCACAGGAAAGCAUUGUGUGUAGCACUGGACCACUGGGCAUUGGUGUCCCCUUUGGUCCUGGGGAUUGCUUUGGUUACAGGAGCUAUGGAAAUCCUGUUGGUUUAAGGGGCUCCCUUCUUUUGGGGGAAGGGUAUGGUUCUGGGAGUGCAUGCAAUUACAACAGGUCUUACAGUUCUGCAUGCCCACCGCUGGGAAGAGGGUUUUGUAGCGCGUUCUCUUACAGCACUUCCAGCAGAGCUGGCUCAGGACCGUGCUAAAAACAUCAGGGAAGUUCACUGCAGUGAGCAACCAGGGUAUGGAAAACACAGCAGAAAAUCAUGAAUAGGAAAUUGGUUUGAGCCUGAGCAGUGCUCGGAUCUGUCUACUCUGAAUGGAGCCAGCAGAAGCUGGGUGCUCUCAGACGUAUCUGAAAAACAUUCUUAUAGGUGGAGGUGGGUAAAGUGUAUAACAUGUGCACAGCCUAUAAGCAUCUUUUCCAUUUAACACUCCAAGCUUUUGGUACUUUCUGUUUGUCUUCCCAUCUCAGCAUUUAUCCCACUCUUCUUGGGGAUGGGAUGGAUGUUCAGCUGUGGGGGUGAAUCUUGUGUACUGCAAGCGUUUUCUGGGGUGCCCUCAAUGCCCUUCAGGUUAACUUAAUGUGUCCUGGAAAAUUGUAUGUUGUUUUGUGGUCUUCCAUAAAAUAAUAGAAUAAUAAUGGAAACCUCAUAAGUCUUAAUCUCUAAAAUGAUUACAUUGUAAAAGAGUCAAAAUAGAACAUAUAACUGCAAUUAUACAGCUAUAAUAAGGAACGUAGGAUUACUUAUAUCAAAUGCAUGCCCUUGUAUCACAAACUUUGCUUUUAGUACUUGAAACUCCUGAAGUGCCUGUUUUUCAUCCCCUUUGUUAUUACAAGUGUUAAUUCUGUUUAUCACAUCCAUUAAAAGCCAAACUGCACAGCACUGACCUGAUGUUUGUUCCACCUCAGUUUUCCUCCCCUUACUUCUGUCUUGAUGAAAGUAUUUCUCUUCCUUCCAAGCUCCUUGAUUUCUCUGCCAGAUCACGUUGUAAGUCUUUAGUAAUUACCAAAAGCAGUUUCGUUCCAGCCAGAAAUAUUCUGUUUCUUUGGAAAGAAGAGCUUUGGACCUUCAGUUUUAGCUAAAAAAAAAGAGAAUCUCUUAAGAGCAAGGGAUUGCCUUUCAGUCAUACCCACUGAACACUUCAAAGCACUGCUUUCUGCUCUUUGGGGCCAGCUCUAUGCAGGAGUUUUCCCAGGAAAUGUACUGGUUCUAAAAGCUUUAUAGGGCAAAAACUUUACUCACCGUGUUUACCUAUUGGAGAGCUGAAUUUGAUUACACAUGAUGACUAGUUUUUGAUAGGAACCAUGUCCCUGCCCUAGUGUGAGCUGUAAUCUGUGCUUGUUUGGCUGUAUAGGGUGGGAUAGAAGUGCUUUCUUGUCUUUGUUGCUUAUCAAAGAUAAAGACAUUACCUGAACCUGCUAUGGCAACUGCAACACAGUAAAUGUAUCAGGUCUAAACCCAAGACAAGGCAAAGAUGACCAAAUUAAUGCAUAGCAAUCUACAACAGAUUCCUCAUGAAUCUGGGGAGAGAUUUUUAAGAUGUGUGUGCAGGGAUGAGGGCAGCCCACCCUCUGUCUGAGCCUUUCCAGUGCAGUGAGGCAAUAGAAUUCCUUCCUCUCAUACCUAGAACUAGUUGGCUUUGUUACUGCUUCCUGAGAGCACU
Molecule: long non-coding RNA, 2029 nt
Organism: Tympanuchus pallidicinctus (lesser prairie-chicken)
Lineage: Eukaryota; Metazoa; Chordata; Aves; Galliformes; Phasianidae
Exons: 3
Source: RefSeq, a predicted model, not a curated record